CCUUGGUCAUUUAGAGGAAGUAAAAGUCGUAACAAGGUUUCCGUAGGUGAACCUGCGGAAGGAUCAUUACAGAGUUCGUGCCCGAAAGGGUAGACCUCCCACCCUUGUGUAUUAUUACUUUGUUGCUUUGGCAGGCUGCCUUUGCGUCUGCCAGAGGUUUAUCAAACUCUUUUUAUUAAUGUCGUCUGAGUACUAUAUAAUAGUUAAAACUUUCAACAACGGAUCUCUUGGUUCUGGCAUCGAUGAAGAACGCAGCGAAAUGCGAUAAGUAAUGUGAAUUGCAGAAUUCAGUGAAUCAUCGAAUCUUUGAACGCACAUUGCGCCCCUUGGUAUUCCGGGGGGCAUGCCUGUUCGAGCGUCAUUUCAACCCUCAAGCACAGCUUGGUAUUGAGCCCAUGUCAGCGAUGGCAGGCUCUAAAAUCAGUGGCGGCGCCGUUGGGUCCUGAACGUAGUAAUAUCUUUCGUUACAGGUUCUCAGCGUGCUUCUGCCAAAACCCAACUUUCUAGUGUUGACCUCGGAUCAGGUAGGGAUACCCGCUGAACUUAAGCAUAUCAAUAAGCCGGAGGAAA
Molecule: small RNA, 570 nt
Filed under: Sclerencoelia fascicularis
Lineage: Eukaryota; Fungi; Ascomycota; Leotiomycetes; Helotiales; Sclerotiniaceae
Description: eukaryotic LSU rRNA
Rfam family: 5.8S ribosomal RNA (bases 208-361)
Source: RNAcentral